RNAcentral lists this ribosomal RNA (269 nucleotides) under Pneumocystis jirovecii. RNAcentral describes it as "partial large subunit ribosomal RNA". It matches the Rfam family "Bacterial large subunit ribosomal RNA", at positions 821 to 1081 of the family's 2925-position model. The record is from RNAcentral. Lineage: Eukaryota; Fungi; Ascomycota; Pneumocystomycetes; Pneumocystales; Pneumocystaceae.
GUGAAAUACAAAUCGGACUAGCAUAUAGCUGGUUUUCUGCGAAAAUUGUUUUGGCAAAAUGUUUAUUCCUCUAAAAAAUAGUAGGUAUAGCACUGAAUAUCUCGAGGGAGUAUGAAAAUAUUUAUCUCAGAUAUUUAAUCUCAAAAUAACUAUUUCUUAAAAUAAAUAAUCAGACUAUGUGCGAUAAGGUAGAUAGUCGAAAGGGAAACAGCCCAGAACAGUAAUUAAAGCUCGCCAAUUAAUAUUAACUGAAAUAAAAGUUGUUGGAU